UGGGGAAUAUUGGACAAUGGGCGAAAGCCUGAUCCAGCCAUGCCGCGUGUGUGAAGAAGGUCUUCGGAUUGUAAAGCACUUUAAGUUGGGAGGAAGGGCAGUAAGUUAAUACCUUGCUGUUUUGACGUUACCGACAGAAUAAGCACCGGCUAACUCUGUGCC
Molecule: ribosomal RNA, 162 nt
Filed under: uncultured bacterium
Lineage: Bacteria
Also listed under: 1 other name
Description: partial 16S rRNA
Rfam family: Bacterial small subunit ribosomal RNA
Source: RNAcentral